Molecule: ribosomal RNA, 809 nt
Filed under: Salmonella enterica subsp. enterica serovar Takoradi
Lineage: Bacteria; Pseudomonadati; Pseudomonadota; Gammaproteobacteria; Enterobacterales; Enterobacteriaceae
Description: partial 23S ribosomal RNA
Rfam family: Bacterial large subunit ribosomal RNA
Source: RNAcentral
UGAGCCUUGAUGUGUAGGAUAGGUGGGAGGCUUUGAAGUGUGGACGCCAGUCUGCAUGGAGCCGACCUUGAAAUACCACCCUUUAAUGUUUGAUGUUCUAACGUGGACCCGUGAUCCGGGUUGCGGACAGUGUCUGGUGGGUAGUUUGACUGGGGCGGUCUCCUCCUAAAGAGUAACGGAGGAGCACGAAGGUUGGCUAAUCCUGGUCGGACAUCAGGAGGUUAGUGCAAUGGCAUAAGCCAGCUUGACUGCGAGCGUGACGGCGCGAGCAGGUGCGAAAGCAGGUCAUAGUGAUCCGGUGGUUCUGAAUGGAAGGGCCAUCGCUCAACGGAUAAAAGGUACUCCGGGGAUAACAGGCUGAUACCGCCCAAGAGUUCAUAUCGACGGCGGUGUUUGGCACCUCGAUGUCGGCUCAUCACAUCCUGGGGCUGAAGUAGGUCCCAAGGGUAUGGCUGUUCGCCAUUUAAAGUGGUACGCGAGCUGGGUUUAGAACGUCGUGAGACAGUUCGGUCCCUAUCUGCCGUGGGCGCUGGAGAACUGAGGGGGGCUGCUCCUAGUACGAGAGGACCGGAGUGGACGCAUCACUGGUGUUCGGGUUGUCAUGCCAAUGGCACUGCCCGGUAGCUAAAUGCGGAAGAGAUAAGUGCUGAAAGCAUCUAAGCACGAAACUUGCCCCGAGAUGAGUUCUCCCUGAGACUUAGAGUCUCCUGAAGGAACGUUGAAGACGACGACGUUGAUAGGCCGGGUGUGUAAGCGCAGCGAUGCGUUGAGCUAACCGGUACUAAUGAACCGUGAGGCUUAACCUUACA